AUUGAACGCUGGCGGCAGGCUUAACACAUGCAAGUCGAGCGGGGUGAUGGUGCUUGCACUAUCACUUAGCGGCGGACGGGUGAGUAAUGCUUAGGAAUCUGCCUAUUAGUGGGGGACAACAUCUCGAAAGGGAUGCUAAUACCGCAUACGUCCUACGGGAGAAAGCAGGGGAUCACUUGUGACCUUGCGCUAAUAGAUGAGCCUAAGUCGGAUUAGCUAGUUGGUGGGGUAAAGGCCUACCAAGGCGACGAUCUGUAGCGUGUCUGAGAGGAUGAGCCGCCACACUGGGACUGGGACACGGCCCAGACUCCUACGGGAGGCAGCAGUGGGGAAUAUUGGACAAUGGGGGGAACCCUGAUCCAGCCAUGCCGCGUGUGUGAAGAAGGCCUUAUGGUUGUAAAGCACUUUAAGCGAGGAGGAGGCUCUUUUGGUUAAUACCCAGAAUGAGUGGACGUUACUCGCAGAAUAAGCACCGGCUAACUCUGUGCCAGCAGCCGCAGUAA
Molecule: ribosomal RNA, 503 nt
Filed under: uncultured bacterium
Lineage: Bacteria
Description: partial 16S ribosomal RNA
Rfam family: Bacterial small subunit ribosomal RNA
Source: RNAcentral